Molecule: long non-coding RNA, 612 nt
Filed under: Meleagris gallopavo (turkey)
Lineage: Eukaryota; Metazoa; Chordata; Aves; Galliformes; Phasianidae
Description: lncRNA (ENSMGAG00000018502.1)
Source: RNAcentral
AUGCUGCUUAUCCUACAGCCUCCAAAUUUAACUGUCCCAACAAGUCACACAAACAAAGCAGUAGUUUUCAUUGCCUUCUGCUUAGACAAAAUUGAAAUAUUUGCCAUGAAAUAUCUGGAUUCUAAUAUUUUACAGGAUUCUACCUCACCAUCUUACAACCGUCAGAGUGAACGGGAGUCAUAUUCUUCUGGAGCUAGUCAAUAUGGUGGACAAGGUUCACCUUACUCUGGAGGCAGCCAAUAUGGAGGGCAGGGUCCAUCUUCCUCAGGUGGCAGCCAGUAUGGAGGGCAGGUGAGAACUUUUUUUCCUACAUGUGGAUUGUUGUUCAGUUGUUCAUCUUUCUCUCUUCUUUUCUGUGAAAAACAAGGUCCUUUAUAAAGGCUUGGCUUAAAGCAAAGCACUGUUCAGGCAGAACGGGUGAAUGUGACAUCUUCUGUGUCAGCCCAUGCAGGAAAAUGAAACACACAAAUCUGCCCUGAGCAGUGAAUCAUUUGCAGAUGGGCCAUGCACAGUUACCUGAAGCUGCCUUUAAUUUAAAAUUUCUUGUCCUGUUUUAAACUGUGUAGCAGUUUUAAACAAUAAAUCAAUAUUUUAAAAUAGCUUUAAAGAAAG